CGCUGGCGGCGUGCUUAACACAUGCAAGUCGAACGUCUCCUGCUGGGGGGAUUAGUGGCGAACGGGUGAGUAAACACGUGAGUACUGCCCUUGACUCUGGGAUAAGCCUGGGAAACUGGGUCUAAUACUGGAUAAUCGCAUGGUGGAAACUUUGUGGUUUUGGAUGGACUCGCGGCCUAUCAGCUUGUUGGUGGGGUAAUGGCCUACCAAGGCGACGACGGGUAGCCGGCCUGAGAGGGGGACGGCCACACUGGGCUGAGACACGGCCCAGACUCCUACGGGAGGCAGCAGUGGGGAAUAUUGCACAAUGGGCGCAAGCCUGAUGCAGCGACGCCGCGUGAGGGAUGAAGGCCUUCGGGUUGUAAACCUCUUUCAGUAGGGAAGAACAGUGACGGUACCUGCAGAAGAAGCGCCGGCUAACUACGUGCCAGCAGCCGCGGUAAUACGUAGGGCGCAAGCGUUAUCCGGAAUUAUUGGGCGUAAAGAGCUCGUAGGCGGUUUGUCGCGUCUGCCGUGAAAGUCCGGGGCUUAACCCCGGAUCUGCGGUGGGUACGGGCAGACUUGAGUGAUGUAGGGGAGACUGGAAUUCCUGGUGUAGCGGUGAAAUGCGCAGAUAUCAGGAGGAACACCGAUGGCGAAGGCAGGUCUCUGGGCAUUAACUGACGCUGAGGAGCGAAAGAUGGGGAGCGAACAGGAUUAGAUACCCUGGUAGUCCAUGCCGUAAACGUUGGGCACAAGGUGUGGGGGACUUCCAGUUUUCCGCGCCGUAGCUAACGAUUAAGUGCCCCGCCUGGGGAGUACGGCCGCAAGGCUAAAACUCAAAGGAAUUGACGGGGGCCCGCACAAGCGGCGGAGCAUGCGGAUUAAUUCGAUGCAACGCGAAGAACCUUACCAAGGCUUGACAUGACCGGAACGCGCAGAGAUGUGUCGGCCACUUGGGCCGGUUUACAGGUGGUGCAUGGUUGUCGUCAGCUCGUGUCGUGAGAUGUUGGGUUAAGUCCCGCAACGAGCGCAACCCUCGUUCCAUGUUGCCCGGUCCGGGGACUCAUGGGAGACUGCCGGGGUCAACUCGGAGGAAGGUGGGGACGACGUCAAAUCAUCAUGCCCCUUAUGUCUUGGGCUUCACGCAUGCUACAAUGGCCGGUACAAAGGGUUGCGAUGCUGUGAGGUGGAGCUAAUCCCAAAGCCGGUCUCAGUUCGGAUUGAGGUCUGCAACUCGACCUCAUGAAGUCGGAGUCGCUAGUAAUCGCAGAUCAGAACGCUGCGGUGAAUACGUUCCCGGGCCUGUACACACCUGA
Molecule: ribosomal RNA, 1298 nt
Filed under: uncultured bacterium
Lineage: Bacteria
Description: bacterial SSU rRNA
Rfam family: Bacterial small subunit ribosomal RNA
Source: RNAcentral